Molecule: ribosomal RNA, 456 nt
Filed under: uncultured bacterium
Lineage: Bacteria
Description: bacterial SSU rRNA
Rfam family: Bacterial small subunit ribosomal RNA
Source: RNAcentral
AGGCAGCAGUGGGGAAUAUUGCACAAUGGGCGCAAGCCUGAUGCAGCCAUGCCGCGUGUAUGAAGAAGGCCUUCGGGUUGUAAAGUACUUUCAGCAGUGAGGAAGGUGGAUAUGUUAAUAGCAUAUUCAUUUGACGUUAGCUGCAGAAGAAGCACCGGCUAACUCCGUGCCAGCAGCCGCGGUAAUACGGAGGGUGCGAGCGUUAAUCGGAAUUACUGGGCGUAAAGCGCAUGCAGGUGGUUUGUUAAGUCAGAUGUGAAAGCCCCGGGGCUCAACCUCGGAAUUGCAUUUGAAACUGGCAAACUAGAGUACUGUAGAGGGGGUAGAAUUUCAGGUGUAGCGGUGAAAUGCGUAGAGAUCUGAAGGAAUACCGGUGGCGAAGGCGGCCCCCUGGACAGAUACUGACACUCAGAUGCGAAAGCGUGGGGAGCAAACAGGAUUAGAUACCCCUGGUAG